Molecule: transfer RNA, 87 nt
Filed under: Chitinophaga silvatica
Lineage: Bacteria; Pseudomonadati; Bacteroidota; Chitinophagia; Chitinophagales; Chitinophagaceae
Rfam family: tRNA
About the family: Transfer RNA (tRNA) molecules are approximately 80 nucleotides in length.
Source: Rfam by way of RNAcentral
GGAAGAGUGCAGGAGUGGUUGAACUGGCACGCCUGGAAAGUGUGUAUAGGCGAAAGUCUAUCAAGGGUUCGAAUCCCUUCUCUUCCG